CACAUUUUACCUGCUGCAAGAGAGCAGUUCAGAAACUGUUCCAAGCGUUGGGUUGCAUACAGUAAAAUCUACCCCUUUAGAAUAACUACUUUGUUGUUUGUUUGAGGGUCUCUAGACUUCUCAUGAACAAAAAGAACAGGAAGGGAAAUUUGCUGUGAUCACGCACAUAUUAUUUACUCUGUUGAUCGGGGGAACUUUCCGAAACUUGCUUCAUCCCCCAAGCACUUCUGGAUUUACGCCGCACGUCUAUUACGGUCGACUUUGCCAGUGACUUUGACCGCUUGGGUCUGUCAAAUUAACGUCGCGGGGGAUCUGCGUUAAGGAGAGACCGCUCUAUUUGAAGGGAUUCACGCAUGUCUGGAUAUUAACUUCCCUUGUUAAUUUGAGAACGGUCUCUGAGGAAGACAGUGGAUGUUAUUGUGUUCGUGUUUUUGAACUUUUUGUACCAACUAAUACAGCAGAAGCGUCAACAUGUUGAGUAACACUGGAGUCUAUGCUGUCAAGAAGCGGAAGAAGCCCGUUCAAAAAACCAAGAAAUCUCCUGCUCCAGAUGUGGUCAAGUCGAACCCAUCCAAACGCCACCGGGAUCGGCUGAAUGGGGAGCUGGACAGGCUGACAGGCCUCCUACCAUUCCCUGAGGAUGUGCGCUCUCGCCUGGACAAACUCUCUGUGCUCCGCAUCAGCGUCGGCUACCUGAAGGUGAAGAGCUUCUUCAAAACAACCAUGAAGAAAAGCAGUGUCCUGUUUCCUGGGAGGGAUGGCCUGAACAUGAAUGGGAUGACCGCCCCAACCUUCUCCGAGGGGGACCUACUUCUCCAGGCUCUGAAUGGCUUUGUGCUGGUGGUCACAGCUGAGGGACAUGUGUUCUAUUCCUCUCCUACUAUCCAAGACUACCUGGGUUUCCAUCAGUCAGACGUGGUCCACCAGAGUGUGUUUGAGCUGAUCCACACAGACGACAGAGCCACGUUCAGACGACAGCUUCACUUUGCCCUCAACCCCAACCCCUUUGACCCAGAGCAGGGAGGAGAUGGCAUGGCGAGCAGCAGUGACAUCACCAGGAACAUCGUGACCUAUAACCCUGAGCAGCUCCCACCAGAGAACUCCUCCUUCCUGGAGAGGAACUUUGUGUGCCGCUUCCGCUGCCUCCUGGACAACUCCUCUGGCUUCCUGGCUCUGAACUUCCAGGGGCGUUUGAAGUUCCUCCAUUGCCAGAGCAUGCUGGGGGAUGACGGGACGCACAGCCAGCCCAGGUUGGGCCUGUUCACCAUCGCCACCCCUGUCCACACCCCGUCCAUAUUGGAGAUCAGAAACAAGACGAUCUUCUUCCAGACCAAACACAAGCUUGACUUCACCCCCACGGGUGUCGAUGCCAGGGGGAAGGUUGUCCUGGGAUACUCAGAGAUUGAGUUGUGUAUGAGAGGCUCUGGGUAUCAGUUCAUCCACGCAGCUGAUAUGAUGUACUGUGCAGAUAGCCAUGUCAGAAUGAUUAAGACAGGAGAGAGUGGUCUGACCACGUUCAGACUGCUGCAGAAGACUGGGUGCUGGGUCUGGGUCCAGGCCAAUGCCAGGCUUGUCUACAAAGGAGGAAGGCCCGACUUCAUCAUCGCACGCCAGAGAGCUUUACUUAAUUCUGAGGGAGAGGAGAAUCUACGCCAGAGGAAGAUGCUACUGCCCUUCAGCUUCACCACCGGGGAGGCCCUGCUGUACGAGACCGGCCCCACCCUGGAUGCCACGGAGUUCCAAAACAACCCCCCAAAAAUCUGCAAGGUGGAGUCUCUGGACCCCCAGUCUCUACUGGGCUCUUUACUAAAGCAGGACAAAUCCGUCUACACCCAGCCCCAGGAGCCUCAGCUACCCAUAGACCAGGUAUUCAUGGACAGCCGAGCGCUCACCAACGUGGCCUGUAACUCCUGGCAGAGUAGCAUGGAGCCCCAGGGGCCCGACGGGGUUGAUGAUGGUGAUAGCCCCAGGGAGGUCAAGCACGAGGGGGCGUUGGUAGCCAUGAUCGAUGCCCUGGAGAGGAUGGCGCAGGAUGGGGACCUGUGUGCGGCUCUGCAGGGGAUGGACGUGGGUACGGCGGAGCUGAUGGAGUGGGAGAGCACCCUCCUCAGGCUGAGCCAGAACUCCAAUGGGACCGGGAGCGGGGACACCUCCCUAGAGCUGGAUGACAUCAUGACCAACGACAUCUUCUCUUACGUGGAGGAAGCCUUGUUCAAGGAGAGCAGCGAGGGGAGCGGUAACCAGCCCAACUGCUCCACCAUGGUCAACAACGACCCUAAACUUUUCACAGGGGUGCUCGACAACAACAACCAGGGUGGACCAUUUCCAGGAGUGGUCAGCCCUACUACAGGUGCCGGACAGUGCAAGCCCGGGUUGCUUGACAAAUUCGGCUUUGUCCAAAAUGGCUCCCCAGUGAACGAUCUAAAUGGUAUCAGCCACAGUCAGGUAACAGGCAACAGAGUAGUUGGUUUGGCAGGACAGAACCAGGGUGGACAGAACCAGUGUGGACAGAACCAGGGUGGACAGAACCAGGCAGGACCACAGCAGGUGUUCAAGAGCACCCAGAGGCUCUCCCACUUCGGCCCCCAGAUUCCUCAGACGGGCCUGAAUAUCCCCAUCCUGCAGCAGCUACAGCUCAACGACAUCUUCACCUCCUCUCUGGAGCUCCCCGAGCUCAGUAACCCACAUAGCUCAGGCCAGAAUGAGUCUGUCACGUUAAGCACUAGCAUGGCUGGAUCCUGUGCUCAGGCACCAAACAACCACAUGGGAAGCCCUCAGAUCAUCACUGGCCAGGUCCAAUCUAACCAGCCACCUCCACAGGGUUUCCCUCAUAAUGGCUUGCCAGCUGCAAUGGCACCAAACGAACCAGAGGAGAUCUCUGUUCCACAGUCCAACCAUCUACCACCUAUUCUGGUGGAUGCUUGGGCAUCUUUGAUUCCCAGUAAUGGCUUUGUUUCACCCCAGAUUGCCUGCAGUGCACCAUUUCAGUCACUAAAAACCCAGAAAGUGCAGCAGUGGCCCCAGAACCAGCAGCAUCAGCUACCACCAUCCGCCAGCACAAUGGAAAAUGGACACCAAUUCAUCCCAGACUGUCACAGUCAAGCCACAGAGACCCAAAGAUUCCCUCUCACAGGCCUUUGGCCACAGAACACCAACGGAUUGUACCACCAACCCCAGCAGGGGCGAUUGGCCAACGGCCAGCCUGCUCCAUCCGGCAGCUGUAUGUUUGAGAACGUCUCACCCCCCCUCCCCAACAGAAACAGCCACGUGGAUGGCACCAUUCUGCCUCCCCCCUUGUCUGCAUGCCAGAGGAAGAUGGUGGACCCCCAGGACCAGAGCUACUUGCAGUGGGGCCCCAGUGAGCCGGUGGUGGACACGUCAGCCAUCAUCCAGGACAACACCGGAAUCAGCUUCCCGGCUCGCCCGCUUGUGGCCAACAUCACCACCCCUGAGAGCCUACUGGCCAUGCAGCAGUACCUUUCUGGACGCAACAGAGUCGGACAGACACAGAUCCCAAGCCUCUGUGUAGUAGACAGCAAUGGAACAUUCUCCUCAUCCCCACUUGUCAAUGGAACAUUCUCCUCAUCCCCACUUGUCAAUGGAACAUUCUCCUCAUCCCCACUUGUCAAUGGAACAUUCUCCUCAUCCCCACUUGUCAAUGGAACAUUCUCCUCAGCCCCACUUGUCAAUGGAACCAUGUGCUUUACAGACCACAACCAAACCAACUAUUGCGACUUCUAAACACGAGUCACAUGUUACUCUGUAAACAUUAUGGACAAAAAGAGGAGGAAGCCAUUCAUGGAUCUGUUCAUCCAUCCGUACACAUUCAAAGACAACACACUGCCGUAAGAGCUGCCUCAGGGAGGGUGUCGUGAUGACAAGCCAUCCCCUAGUCAGACACACCAUUCAUCUCCCCAUAUCAGUGUUUACAGGAAAUACAAGGACUCUUUUGAUUAAGCACUUGUCACUUCUGUCAGCAAUGGAACAAAAAGCAGCAACUUUACAUGGAACUGGUUUUAUUUCUUUUUUUGUUGUUGUCUUCUGUUUUGUUUGUUGUUGCCUUGUCUUUGGUUUUAUUACUGUGGAAAAACAGUAUCUGUCACAACUUCAAUGAUAUGAAUGAAGUUUGAAUCCUCACUGGUGAAUUUGGCUUGUGUUAUAAUGGCUUUUUAGGGUCAUGCCCAAUUCCCCAAAUGAUUUAUAUAUAUUAAUGGAGCAGGCCAUAUUCAUUUCUUGUUACGUUUGUUUCUUCUUACAUUAUAGUUGGAUGGUGACAGGACACCAUUCAAGUUUUCACUCGUGGAGAAACAUACAAAAAAACUGAUAUUGUACUCAGAGAUUAAAAAUAAAGGCACAACAUCCUCAAUUUAUAUAUGGAGUGUAGGGUUGCAAAAUUCUGUGAACUUUAGAUACAUUUCCUAAUUUGUACAAAAUCCCAGUUGGAGAAUUCCUUGAAUCAGGAAUCAGGGAAAAAGCAGGAAAUCCAGAAUCCUCCAACCAGGGAAUGUAUUAAAUGUUCCUGUCAUUUUUCAACCCUAAUGAAGUGUAAAUACAGAAAUGGCCUCUAUAUUAUUAUAAAGAUAUGAAUGUUUUUAUUGUGUGAGUGUGUUAUGGCUGUGAUGAAUAUGACUGUGUGUACAUGGGGUGUGUUCCUGUUUGUGUUUGCUUGUUCUGAAGAAUGAAUGAAGCAGUGUACAAAUAGAAUUUCUGAGGAAAAAGCAACGUAUUUCAUUGAAAUGUCUGCAUUGGUUGCAGAGUAGGCUAUAAAAAAACAAAUUAUGUGCUUUCAGAUUGUACUCCUUGUAAUGCUAUUGGUAUCCAAAUUUCAUUACAAUUUAACAAUAGUCUGAUAUAGUACGUUGAUAAUGCUAUAUCAAUAGUAUUCAAUCCAUUUAUAGUUGUUUCUUUGUUUUAUCUAAACUUCACUGAGCCAUAUGCUAACUUGUGGUAAUUUGUUUACUUUAGUUUUUUGUUCAUAAUAUCAUCUGCGGAGGAAGGUGUAGUGCAUGUUAAGGAGACUCAGGAGACAUACAGUUGCUAGUGAAUAGUCGACACACCACUUGCACAGUCUUCACAUUUUGCUACAUUAAAAUCUGAAAAGGGAUUUUUUUCCUACCGAUCUAAACAAUCUACUCCACAUUUUCAAAGUGAAAGAAAAAUGUAUAAAAAAGAAAUACGAAACAAAGAUGUUUUGAUUGCGUAUGUCUUCGCAUCCGAGGGGUUGAUUGAAGACCCCUUUUUGUUGUCAUUUUUCUCUCCCCAAUUUCGUGGUAUCCAAUGUGUAGUUAGAAUCUUGUCUCAUUGCUGCAACUCCCCUAUGGACUCGGGAGAGGUAAAGGUUGACAGCCAUGCGUCCUCCAAAACAUGACCCUGCCAGGCCGCACUGCUUCUUGACACACUGCUCGCUUAACCCGGAAGCCAGCCGCACCAAUGUGUCGGAGGAAACACCGUACAACUGACGACCGAUGUCACAAGGAGGUCAGUAGAGCACGAUGAGACAAGGAGGUCAGUAGGGCACGAUGAGACAAGGAGGUCAGUAGGGCACGAUGAGACAAGGAGGUCAGUAGAGCACGAUGAGACAAGGAGGUCAGUAGAGCACGAUGAGACAAGGAGGUCAGUAGAGCACGAUGAGACAAGGAGGUCAGUAGAGCACGAUGAGACAAGGAGGUCAGUAGAGCACGAUGAGACAAGGAGGUCAGUAGAGCACGAUGAGACAAGGAGGUCAGUAGAGCACGAUGAGACAAGGAGGUCAGUAGAGCACGAUGAGACAAGGAGGUCAGUAGAGCACGAUGUCACAAGGAGGUCAGUAGAGCACGAUGUCACAAGGAGGUCAGUAGAGCACGAUGUCACAAGGAGGUCAGUAGAGCACGAUGUCACAAGGAGGUCAGUAGAGCACGAUGAGACAAGGAGGUCAGUAGAGCACGAUGUCACAAGGAGGUCAGUAGAGCACGAUGAGACAAGGAAAUCCCAGCCGGCCAAACCUUCCCCGAACCCGGACGACACUGGACCAAACCCUCCCCUAAUCCGGAUGACGCUAGGCAAAUUGUGCGCUGCUUCAUGGGUCUCCCGGUCACGGCUGGCUGUGGCACAGCCUGGGAUCAAAAACCGAGGCUGUAGUGACGCUUCAGCACUGCAAUGCUGUUCCUUAGACCACUCCACCACUUGGAAGUCUCCGGUGGAAGCACCUUUGAUAGUCAUUACAGCUGUGAAUUAUUUUGAUUAAGAUUAUUAUUUAGAGAAACAUAUUUUCAUUGUUUAUGUCAAAAUUGCUUAAGGUCAGUAAAUUUGUUCAGGAGUCAUUGAUCGGCAGCCAUAUUCAAACCUUGUCUCUGAUUGUCAAGCAAAUUUAAGUCAAGGCUAAGAAACACUCAAGAACACUCAACACCUAUUGGUAAGCCAUUCUGGUGUCUAUGGCAUUAACAUUUUUGUAACUGUGCCGCUGAAAAUAAAACUCUAUUCCAGGGUUUUCCUCAACUUUUUACCUAGGCUUUGCUCUUUUCAUGUUUCUUUUGAUCCUGACAAACUCCUCAGUCCCUACUAGUGACAGGCAUACCCAUAACAUGAUGCUUCCACCACAAUACUUGAAAAUACAGACGAUUUAUAUUGGAUUUGACAAAAGCCUGUAGUUUUUUCUAUUUAGGCCAAAAAGUGAUUUAUUUGUCGUGUUGUUUUGCAGUAUUACUUUAGAGCCUCUUGUUGCAACCAGAACAGGCUUCCUUCUCUUCACCUUAUCAUACAGGCCAGUAAUGUGGAGUGAAUGUAAUGUUGUUGAUUUUCAAGUAUUGUGGUGGCAGCAUCAUGUUAUGGGUAUGCUUGUGGCAGUGGCUGGGGAGUUUGUCAGGAUCAAAAUGAAUAUAAAAGGAGCAAAGCCCAGGUAAAAAACUAGAGGAAAACCAGCAUCAGUCUUCUGAAUAACUAACCCUGAGAUAGAUUUUUACAUUUCUGCUGGACAAUUUCACAAAGUCAAAUGCCAAAGACACACCAGUAUGCCUUUCCAAUAGGUGUUGAGUGGUCCUGAAUGGUCCAGUCACAGUCCUGACUUAAACCUGCUCAAAUCAGAAACAAUAUUUGAAUAUUGCUGUGCAUCAAUGAUUCCCAACUUAAUGUACUGUGCUUGAGCAAUUUUGACAAAAACAAUGGAUAUGCAGUAUGUUGCCCUAAGAGUAGUAGAAUCUUAUUCAAAAUGAUUCACAGCUUUAAUGGCUGGCAAAGGUGCUUCCACCAAUGAUCAACUCUGUGGUGUGAAGACAUACGCAAUCAAGACAUUUUUAUUUUAUUUGUAAUUAAUUAGGAACAUUUUCUAUAUAUAUUUUUUUCAAUUUGAAAACGUGGCGUAGGUUGUGUACAUGAAUAGGAAAAAAAUGUGUAAUGCAAUUUUUAGAUAACAUUUUAAUGUGAAGGAGUGUGCAGACUUUCACUAUGCACUGUAGGUCCUAGAAGUCUAGUGUAGUAACCAUGGUUACUAUAGACAUGGGACUGGAAGUAGAACUUCCCACGAGUCCACAUGUUGAUCAGCAUAUUCGACAAAUGGCACUUCCCAUUUAGUCCCAUGUCAGUUGAUGAUUGACAGUAACAUGGCAGGUCCUCCCGUUGUUAAGGCCCCCGGACACUGAAGUCUCCCGGCAUCACUCUGACUCCUCCCUCAAAGGCAUCUGAGGCUAAAUCAAUAUGGCUGCCCACCUUUUAUUUCCCUUGACCCAUUUCCUCAUUCUGCUCAUAUGAAAAGACAAGGCAGGUUUCCGCCAUAUUCCCCUAUAUGGCGGAAACUAAACCCGGCCAACUAGAGGGCUUCUCCUACCAAACUGUUCUCACUGACAGGUCUCUCAGCUCAAUAAGGCAGAGGAAGUUACACAUAGCAAAGGGAGCUGUUAUAUGUAUUGGGUGUAUUCACAUUUAGCUUUGCUUUUCAAUUAUAUUUAGCAACUUUUCUCAUGCUUUUUGCUUCACCGAGCUGAUUUAUAAUAUAUAAUAUAUAUAUAUAUAGCUGAUAUAUAAUAAUAUAAUUUUCAAAGCGCCUGCCUUGAAAUGUUGAUAAAGUUCCUUGUAUCAAAGUUGAUAUGAAAGAAAGGGAAGGGUAUACAUUAUAUAUCACCUCUAGGGUUGCAAAACUCCAGGAACUUUCAAUACAUUUCCUGGUUUUCCAGAAAUCGUGGUUGGAGAAUUCCAGAUUUCCUGCUUAUUCCUUCCUGAUUCCGGGAAUCCUCCAACUGUGGAAUUCAGGGAAAAACAUGGGAAUUUAUUGAAAGUUCCCAGAAUUUUGCCACCCUAAUCCACCCCCUGCUAUAUAUCUAUUCGUUAAACUUACUCUUCAACGGUCUCCGACAUCAGGCAGUUGCAGAGUUCAGCAUCAAUAUAUUAUGAAUAUUUCCAUUUUUGCAUUUGUUUGUCGUAUGUUUUGGUUAUUUCAUGUUGUUAUUAUGUCUCGUGGCCUUACAACAUCUGUUAGACAUUUGUUCUCCUUGGAAAUAUUUGUCUCCACAUAAAUAUUUAAUUUAGUGUAGUUCACUUGUAUUUAGGCAAGUAUAGCAUAUGCAUUGUAUUGAUAUUUACCACCUUGUGUUUGUUACCUUAUAUUCUCAAUUGUAAAAUUAAUUCUCAUAUAAAAAAAAAUUAUAAUAACUUACUAAUGUGUUACUUGGUCAUUAUUAAAGUGCAAUACUUCUGUUG
Molecule: long non-coding RNA, 8667 nt
Organism: Oncorhynchus keta (chum salmon)
Lineage: Eukaryota; Metazoa; Chordata; Actinopteri; Salmoniformes; Salmonidae
Exons: 13
Source: RefSeq, a predicted model, not a curated record